GUAGGAAGAAGCUUACACGUCCCAGCUAAUCAGACGCGGGGGAAACCGAGGGGCGGUGAUUCUUUAAGGAGUUGUUCGAUUCACCAGCCUGAAGUAGACAUUUACGGCUUUUCAUCUUCAUCUCUGUCACAGAAGGAAGAAGUGGUACCACUAUGCAGAAUAAGGACAACUGAGGUGGUAAUACUGUUCCUGAUGAGGACUUCUUCCUUUGUCCAAAAAGAAACUUUAGUUUGCCUUGAAACUGCAUUGUCUGUUAUAUA
Molecule: long non-coding RNA, 260 nt
Organism: Rhea pennata
Lineage: Eukaryota; Metazoa; Chordata; Aves; Rheiformes; Rheidae
Exons: 3
Source: RefSeq, a predicted model, not a curated record